GACGAACGCUGGCGGCGUGCCUAAUACAUGCAAGUCGAGCGGACCAAACAGGAGCUUGCUCUUGUUUGGUUAGCGGCGGACGGGUGAGUAACACGUGGGUAACCUACCCGUAAGACCGGGAUAACUCCGGGAAACCGGAGCUAAUACCGGAUAACACCGAAGACCGCAUGGUCUUUGGUUGAAAGGCGGCUUCGGCUGUCACUUACGGAUGGGCCCGCGGCGCAUUAGCUAGUUGGUGAGGUAACGGCUCACCAAGGCGACGAUGCGUAGCCGGCCUGAGAGGGUGACCGGCCACACUGGGACCUGAGACACGGCCCAGACUCCUACGGGUGGCAG
Molecule: ribosomal RNA, 336 nt
Filed under: uncultured Bacillota bacterium
Lineage: Bacteria; Bacillati; Bacillota
Description: bacterial SSU rRNA
Rfam family: Bacterial small subunit ribosomal RNA
Source: RNAcentral